This 86-nucleotide transfer RNA is filed under the name Candidatus Deianiraea vastatrix. RNAcentral's name for it is "tRNA-Tyr". It matches the Rfam family "tRNA". Rfam says of the family: Transfer RNA (tRNA) molecules are approximately 80 nucleotides in length. Their secondary structure includes four short double-helical elements and three loops (D, anti-codon, and T loops). Lineage: Bacteria; Pseudomonadati; Pseudomonadota; Alphaproteobacteria; Rickettsiales; Candidatus Deianiraeaceae. The record is from RNAcentral.
GGAGGAAUGGCCGAGCGGUCAAAGGCGGCUGACUGUAAAUCAGCUCUCGUACGAGUUCGUAGGUUCGAUUCCUACUUCCUCCACCA